UACAGGGGGUGCAAACGUUGCUCGGAAUUAUUGGGCGUAAAGCGCGCGUAGGUGGCCUCAUAAGUCCGCUGUGAAAGUCAAAGGCUCAACCUUUGAAAGCCGGUGGAUACUGUGAGGCUAGAGUACGGAAGAGGCGAGUGGAAUUCCUGGUGUAGCGGUGGAAUGCGCAGAUAUCAGGAGGAACACCAAUAGCGAAGGCAGCUCGCUGGGACGUUACUGACACUGAGGCGCGAAAGCGUGGGGAGCGAACAGG
RNAcentral lists this ribosomal RNA (253 nucleotides) under uncultured bacterium. Its description in RNAcentral is "partial 16S ribosomal RNA". It matches the Rfam family "Bacterial small subunit ribosomal RNA", at positions 524 to 776 of the family's 1533-position model. The record is from RNAcentral.